GUAGCCUGUGAGCACUACAGUGUGCCUGUCAGGUAUGCCCUGGAUUGGGUUUGCAGACAACUAUUGGAACCCCAAGUGGGUUCUGCAAAGCUGGAACUGUUCACUUCUUGCUCAGCAUACCUCUGCUAAGCACAUUAAACUCAUUCAACAAAUAUUUAUGGAGUGCAGACUCUCUCAUACCAUGUUAAGUGUUGUGUUUAUAGUGAUGAACAAGACAGACAUGAUACCAACCACAAAUUGCCUACAGACAAUGACAACAGAGUGAGAAGUACUGUGCCAAAGAGCUCCUGCAGGGGGCACCCAGCCUGGCCUGGGGUCAGUGAAGGCUGAUUGGUUAAAGCCACAAUCUUCACCCAACUGGAUAUUUCAGUAGCCUUUCUGGUCUGUUUCUAUCCUCACCCUCUACAUUCUUAAAACAGUAGAGUGACCCCUUUAAACUAUAAAACAGAUCACAACACUCAAAGACCUCCAUCCCCCCCUUCACUCAGAAUGGAAGAGUUCUUAUAGUUCUACAAAGCCUUGGCCCCUGGGGCCCAGUAAGCCCCUGAAUUCAUCUGCUAGUGUUCCUCACCUUGCUUAUUUGCUGUUGCUCAAAAGAGCCAGGCAGAUUCCUGCCUCCAGCUUCACAGUUGUCCCCCCCUCCCCCAGAUAUGCACGGCUUGCUCCUUCACCUCCUCCAUCAGCUAGAUGAGGCCUUCCCUGACUACCCUAUUCACAAUUGCAGCAUCUGCCCGAGGUACAUGCAGCCAACUUCCCUGCUUUGUUUUCUUCACAACA
Molecule: long non-coding RNA, 777 nt
Filed under: Marmota monax (woodchuck)
Lineage: Eukaryota; Metazoa; Chordata; Mammalia; Rodentia; Sciuridae
Source: RNAcentral